Molecule: ribosomal RNA, 446 nt
Filed under: uncultured bacterium
Lineage: Bacteria
Description: partial 16S ribosomal RNA
Rfam family: Bacterial small subunit ribosomal RNA
Source: RNAcentral
CCUACGGGCGGCAGCAGUAGGGAAUUUUCGGCAAUGGGGGGAACCCUGACCGAGCAACGCCGCGUGAACGAAGAAGUUAUUCGUAAUGUAAAGUUCUUUUAACAGGGAAGAAAGAGACAUUUGCCGGUACCUGCAGAAUAAGCUCCGGCUAACUACGUGCCAGCAGCCGCGGUAUUACGUAGGGAGCGAGCGUUAUCCGGAAUUAUUGGGCGUAACGGGUGCGUAGAUGGCAUAGUAAGUCUUUUGUAAAAAUGCUGGGCUCAACCCAGUAGGGCAAAAGAUACUGCAAAGCUAGAGUAUGACAGAGGCAAGUGGAACUACAUGUGUAGCGGUAAAAUGCGUAGAUAUAUGGAAGAACACCAGUGGCGAAGGCGGCUUGCUGGGUCGAUACUGACAUUGAGGCACGAAAGCGUGGGGAGCAAACAGGAUUAGAUACCCCGGUAGUC